Molecule: ribosomal RNA, 444 nt
Filed under: Lancefieldella rimae
Lineage: Bacteria; Bacillati; Actinomycetota; Coriobacteriia; Coriobacteriales; Atopobiaceae
Description: bacterial SSU rRNA
Rfam family: Bacterial small subunit ribosomal RNA
Source: RNAcentral
GAUGAACGCUGGCGGCGCGCCUAACACAUGCAAGUCGAACGGUUAAAGCACCUUUUAGGUGUGUAUAAAGUGGCGAACGGCUGAGUAACACGUGGGCAACCUGCCCUCCUCUUGGGGAUAGCCUCGGGAAACCGAGGAUAAUACCCGAUACUUCAAUGUGGCCGCAUGACGACAUUGAGAAAGCUUUUGCGGAGAAGGAUGGGCCCGCGGCCUGUUAGCUUGUUGGUGGGGUAGAGGCCUACCAAGGCAAUGAUGGGUAGCUGGGUUGAGAGACCGACCAGCCAGAUUGGGACUGAGACACGGCCCAGACUCCUACGGGAGGCAGCAGUGGGGAAUCUUGCACAAUGGGCGAAAGCCUGAUGCAGCGACGCCGCGUGCGGGACGAAGGCCUUCGGGUUGUAAACCGCUUUCAGCAGGGACGAGGCGAAAGUGACGGUACCUGCA